Non-coding RNA from Salmo salar (Atlantic salmon), 154 nucleotides. The record is from RefSeq and is a predicted model, not a curated record. Lineage: Eukaryota; Metazoa; Chordata; Actinopteri; Salmoniformes; Salmonidae.
CUACUGUUGAUAGUAGGUCUAACAGUAUAUCUACUGUUGAUAGUAGGUCUAACAGUAUAUCUACUGUUGAUAGUAGGUCUAACAGUAUAUCUACUGUCUGUUGAUAGUAGGUCUAACAGUAUAUCUACUGUUGAUAGUAGGUCUAACAGUAUAU